Long non-coding RNA from Fukomys damarensis (Damara mole-rat), 299 nucleotides. RefSeq lists it as uncharacterized. The transcript is spliced from 3 exons. Lineage: Eukaryota; Metazoa; Chordata; Mammalia; Rodentia; Bathyergidae. The record is from RefSeq and is a predicted model, not a curated record.
GAAACCCAAGGCGCUAAGUGGGGACUGUUACCAAUGUACACCAGAGAAUGUUUAUUCAGAACGGCAGGGCCAGGACCUCUGGCAUCAUCUUCACCUGGGGAGUAGUUCAAGACAGAAAUCCAGAGCUACGAGUCACACAUCCAUCCAGAUGAUUGCAGUGUGCGCUACAAGUAGAAAAGGUUUUAUAGCAGCUCUGCCUUCUGCAUCCUCUUUCGUGACAGCAUCAUCAUGCAGUCAUUCAAUAAAACUAAUUGAAGACUCAACUCCGGCUUCAGAACCAUAACAACGGCCUGCUCUCU